This 293-nucleotide ribosomal RNA is filed under the name Klebsiella pneumoniae. Its description in RNAcentral is "partial 23S ribosomal RNA". It matches the Rfam family "Bacterial large subunit ribosomal RNA", at positions 1923 to 2215 of the family's 2925-position model. The record is from RNAcentral. Lineage: Bacteria; Pseudomonadati; Pseudomonadota; Gammaproteobacteria; Enterobacterales; Enterobacteriaceae.
GUAAACGGCGGCCGUAACUAUAACGGUCCUAAGGUAGCGAAAUUCCUUGUCGGGUAAGUUCCGACCUGCACGAAUGGCGUAAUGAUGGCCAGGCUGUCUCCACCCGAGACUCAGUGAAAUUGAACUCGCUGUGAAGAUGCAGUGUACCCGCGGCAAGACGGAAAGACCCCGUGAACCUUUACUAUAGCUUGACACUGAACAUUGAGCCUUGAUGUGUAGGAUAGGUGGGAGGCUUUGAAGCGUGGACGCCAGUCUGCGUGGAGCCAACCUUGAAAUACCACCCUUUAAUGUUU